AGUUGGUGGAGUGAUUUGUCUGGUUAAUUCCGAUAACGAACGAGACUCUGUCCUGCUAAAUAGUUUCUGCGUCUUUUUUGCGCAGAAAAUUCUUCUUAGAGGGACUGGCGGCGUCUAGCCGCACGAGAUUGAGCAAUAACAGG
This 143-nucleotide ribosomal RNA is filed under the name Metazoa environmental sample. RNAcentral's name for it is "partial small subunit ribosomal RNA". It matches the Rfam family "Eukaryotic small subunit ribosomal RNA", at positions 1296 to 1460 of the family's 1831-position model. The record is from RNAcentral. Lineage: Eukaryota; Metazoa.